AACCCGUGGCUCGGGCCCGCCCCCAUCUCAGCACCCCAGGCUAGUCUGGGAGGCUGGCGCAAACGCAGCGGGUGGCGGGGGUAGGGGCUCAUUGGGAGCCCACGGAGUGCGGCGGCGGCUCGGGGGCCGAGUUCCCUACAACAAGGAUGGCGGUGACCGGCGCAGGGAGCGGGGCCCGGCUCUCCUUGCCUCGAGGCUCCUCUGAUUCCACUCGCGUGGCUGCGCGGCCCUGGCAGCGGCCUUCGUCCCGGGGAUGGGAGCUACACAGGGUUCCGCCCCGUCCUGGCGACGACGCCUGAGGGGGCUCUGUGAUAAAGAAAUGGGGGCUCCGAGCAGUCAAGAAGAACAUGCCCCAAGUUUUUCGUCAGUGAGGCGGAAAUUGUGGUGUCCUUGUUUUCUGUGGGUCAGGAGAUCAGAAAUGGUUCUAUUUCAAGGUCUCUCACAGGGCCGCAAUCAAGAUGUUGGCAUGGCUGGGGUCUCAUCUGAAGGCUGGACUGGAGAAGAAUCUACUUCCAAACUUAUGUGGUAGCUGGAAGAAUUUAGUUCCUCAAGGCCGCUAAACUGAUGGCCUGUGUUCCUUGCCUCUGGGAUGGUAGCUUGCUUCAACAAAGUGUGCAAGCAGAGAAGACAGAGUCCGCUAGCAAGACAGAAGCCACAAUCUCUUGUAAUCUAUCAUUUUUGCUGUAUUCUACUGGUUAAAAAUAACUCAUUAGGUUAGCCUACUGGCUCUCAAGGGGAAGAGAUUAUACAAAGGCAUGAAUUUCUGGAGGAGGGAAUGAGGGCAAAGAAUUCUGAGAAGUCUGUCUUCCACAAUCUGAAGAACUUCUAGAAAGUAGGAGGAAGUGAUAUUGCUUAGGGAUGGACAACUUGGCACUGGUUAUGUAUUUCAAGUGAGGUAACCUUGUUCCCAAGAAUAAAGAGAACCAGACAACUGUAAACAUUUCCCUAAACUGAAAUGCAGACUGUUGUAUGUUCCCCUGAAAUGAAUGAUGUAAGCUGAAUAUAAGAUUUUUGACAAAAUAAAAAUUUUGCUGUGUUCUCAGGUCUGGCAGGCUCCUGCCCUUAUGCAAACAAUGUUCCUGGCAGCUAUUCAUCUCCUUAGGUAAAUAAGAAUUGGAGAAAAGCUGUGCUGAGAUAUGAUGCAUUUGCUCUUGCCUUGGAACGUUGUUUUCUGAUAAGGUUCUAUAUCCUCUGCAAAUCAAAUCAGGCACUUACAGUGUGAGUAUGCAUUCUCUUCCUGCCAGUCUGGAGAUGAUCAAAAAGCCUAUAACAGGCUUGGCCUAUUUUCCUAUUGGGUUGCUGGGGUUUUUUUUCGUCUUUAUUUACUUGUAGAGAGUUUUAGACCUCUGUGUAUGUAUGGUGUACAAGUGACAAUAUUCAGAUCUGUAAACUGUAAUGCAGUCUGGGAGCAAAGAAGAUAUAGAAAAAUGACUUUUACUUCCUGCUUAAGUAGUAAAAUUGAGAUUCAAAUUUUGCAUAUAGAAGUACUAUAUGGCUAACUUAUUUGGGGAGCAAAACUGACUUACCGUAAGUCUACCUGAAAUAGAAAUAAAACACUCAAUUUGUGAAAUAA
Long non-coding RNA from Gorilla gorilla gorilla (western lowland gorilla), 1573 nucleotides. RefSeq lists it as uncharacterized. The record is from RefSeq and is a predicted model, not a curated record. Lineage: Eukaryota; Metazoa; Chordata; Mammalia; Primates; Hominidae. The transcript is spliced from 3 exons.